Molecule: unclassified non-coding RNA, 274 nt
Filed under: plant metagenome
Description: partial contains small subunit ribosomal RNA, internal transcribed spacer 1, and 5.8S ribosomal RNA
Source: RNAcentral
UUUCCGUAGGUGAACCUGCGGAAGGAUCAUUAUCGUACAAAAUGUGAGGAGCAUGCGAGGGCUGUCGCUGACCCAAAAGUCGUGCACGCCCGAGUGUGUCCUCUUGCAUAAUAGUCCAUCUCACCCUUUGUGCACCACCGCGUGGGUCCCCCUUUGGCUUGUUCGGAGGGGGGCUUACGUUUUCACACAAACUUUGUAUGCAGUGUAGAAUGUAUUUUUUGUUUUUGCGAUCACGCAAUCAAUACAACUUUCAACAACGGAUCUCUUGGCUCUC